CUCAAGUUACCAUCGCUAACGCGUGAGCUGACUAGGGAAUUAUUGAUCCCGGAGUUGGCUAAAUGAGCUGUAUACUUUGUAGAGUCAAUUUAAUGGAAUACGUCUAAUAAACGUGCGCUACACCAGUACAAAAAUAGCAACAAAGUUUGCACAGCACCUGCGACUGUCAAACUGAUUUAAGCCAGUCAGCAGAAACAGCAGCAGCAGUAGCAGCAGUUCACCUACAUACACACACACACACACACACCCACCCAAAUACACAAAUAGCACGCACACACUGCUAAAAUGGUGGACGCUGCGAGACAAAUGCUCGAUGAGCUAAUGGGCCGCAAUCGAAAUUUGCAUCCAUCUGAGGCUGGGCAAGCGGUCAAUUGGGAAGAUCCAGAGUUCUGUCAAUUUUACAAUGUGAAAUUCUGUCCGCAUGAUCUGUUUAUUAAUACUCGUGCCGAUUUGGGUCCUUGCACACGCAUCCACGACGAGGAGGCGAAACAUUUGUACGAGGAGGCGCGUCCAUCGCAGCGCAAACGCCAUACGGAGGAUGAGUUUCUGCGCUUCUGCAAUGUGAUGCUGCACGAUGUCGAUCGGAAGAUACAAAAGGGCAAGCAGCGCCUGCAGCUGAUGCAGCGCGAUCAUCCGUCGGGCACAAUGUCGCAAGCGGCCAAGCAGCAGGAGCAUCUGAACAAUCUAACCGCACGCAUCAACAAACUGAUGGCCGAGGCUGAGGAGGCAGGCAUCCGCGGCGAUGUGGAUCAGGCGCAGGAUCUGAUGGCCAUGUGCGAGGAGCUCAAAGAGGAGAAGGAAUCAUUGCAUCAGCAAUAUGAGGCGCACAUGAAAAGCUAUCACAAGUUGCGUGCGCCGCCGCCAACAGCGAUAACAACAGCUGUAACCACGCCCACCACACCAACAAUAAACGAAGCACCAAUAGGAGAACAGCUGCUACUUGCCAGUCCCGGUUCCAGCGUAGAAAACGUAGCUGGCAAUACGAUUGCGCUCGACAGCAAAGAACCCAAUGAAACGACCGAUGAGGCAACAACAGGAAUUGCAAGCUCUCCAUCAAGCGAAUGUGCUUCGCCCAGAGCGGCCGCAUCCCCCUCAGCCGAUGACAACAAAUCGGAGUCCAAGGGCGAUGGCAAACAGACGGCGAAUUGGUCGCACGAAGUGCUGCCCGAAAAACAAAUGAAGGUGUGCGAAAUAUGCGGCGCUUUUCUGAUUGUGGGCGAUGCCCAGCAGCGCAUCGAAGACCAUUUGAUGGGCAAACAGCAUUUGGGUUACUCCAAGCUGCGCAAUGCUGUUGCCGAGAUCAAUGAGCGGCGACAAAAGGAGCACGAAGAGGAGGAGCGCAAGCGGCGCGAUGAUCGUGUGCAACGCUUUCACAAUAGCUACGAGAGCAGACGUGAUCAGCGCGACUAUCGGGAACGCAGUCGUGACUAUCCGCCCAAUCGUCAAUCGUCGGACAGGCGGCAUCAUCAUCACAAAUCACACCACGGCCAUUCAUAUUCGCGCAGUGGCAGCCACAACAGCAGCAGCAGCAGUCGGCGCAGCAGUCAUAGUCAUCAUUAUCGUCACGACAGUCGGGAGCGGCAUGGUCGCAGUCGCAGUCGCAGCCGUUACUAGGACACAACCAAAGCUACAAACAGCCGCUGCUACAACAACAGCAACAUCUAACAAAAGCAAACAAAAGAAACAAAAACUGCAGCAAACUAUGAUAAAAAACAAAGCAAAAACAUAAUAAACUCUUCUAAUCGAAACGCAAAAUGAAAUUAGCUGAAGAUACUACGCAACCUCAGCAACAACAACAACAUCAACAUCUCUGGCCGAUUGCCACGUCCCUCUUCCACCCCUACAUACUCCAUGCAGCAUCGAGCAAUUAAGAUCAGACAGUCUAAGGGGCACGCAUGUGUGCGUGGCACAUGUGCCAAACAUGCCAAAGAUCUGAGGUGAGUUCAACAACAGACUAUCUAUAACGCUAUUCAUAUAACUCCAACUUGUACACGUACUCGUAGUCCCACCAAGAAACCAAAAAAUGUUAAAUUUAUAUAUACUCCAUGUGUAAUCUCCAUCUGUACAGAGACAGGCACAAACUGUCGAAAAAACAAAAACCUCAAACAAUAUUUUAAAGUAAAUCAAAAAACCUUAAAUUCACUCAAUUCAAAGAAAACACACACUCACACACACACACAUACAUAGACACAAACACAAAAAUUCAUUACUAGAUAACAGACUAAUAUUUGCACGAGGCUCGCCUGUUUCGGUCUUAUCUAUAUAUAUCUACAUCUAAAUUUAUAUGUUAGCUCUAUGCAUGCUCAUUGUGCAGCUGCUACUAAAGGAAUAGUGGGAUGGAACGGCAUUAUAGGACCUAUGCUGAGUAAUUUUUAGAGAAAACAAACAAUUGUCUUUAUGUGUAAGGUAUAUGUAGGGCAAAGCUGGCAAAGCUUAGCAAUGCAGAGCUGAAACAUAUUUUUAGUUUCUUUCAGUCUUUAAUAUAAAAAAUAAGACUAUUAAAUUCAAACAG
Molecule: unclassified non-coding RNA, 2512 nt
Filed under: Drosophila mojavensis
Lineage: Eukaryota; Metazoa; Arthropoda; Insecta; Diptera; Drosophilidae
Description: GI21435
Source: RNAcentral